AUUGAACGCUGGCGGCAUGCCUUACACAUGCAAGUCGAACGGCAGCGGACCUUCGGGUGCCGGCGAGUGGCGAACGGGUGAGUAAUGCAUCGGAACGUGCCAUUGAGUGGGGGAUAACGUAGCGAAAGUUGCGCUAAUACCGCAUAUUCUGUGCGCAGGAAAGCAGGGGACCGCAAGGCCUUGCGCUCUUUGAGCGGCCGAUGUCAGAUUAGCUAGUUGGUGAGGUAACGGCUUACCAAGGCGACGAUCUGUAGCGGGUCUGAGAGGAUGAUCCGCCACACUGGAACUGAGACACGGUCCAGACUCCUACGGGAGGCAGCAGUGGGGAAUUUUUGGACAAUGGGGGCGAACCCUGAUCCAGCCAUGCCGCGUGAGUGAAGAAGGCCUCGG
This 390-nucleotide ribosomal RNA is filed under the name uncultured bacterium. RNAcentral's name for it is "bacterial SSU rRNA". It matches the Rfam family "Bacterial small subunit ribosomal RNA", at positions 30 to 420 of the family's 1533-position model. The record is from RNAcentral.